GAUGAACGCUAGCUACAGGCUUAACACAUGCAAGUCGCGGGGCAGCAUGGGGGUUGCUUGCAAUCCCCGAUGGCGACCGGCGCACGGGUGAGUAACGCGUAUCCAACCUGCCCUUCACCACGGGAUAACCCAGCGAAAGUCGGACUAAUACCGUAUGUUGUCCAUUGACGGCAUCCGAUUUGGACGAAAGGUUUGGCGGUGAAGGAUGGGGAUGCGUCCGAUUAGCUGGACGGCGGGGUGACGGCCCACCGUGGCGACGAUCGGUAGGGGUUCUGAGAGGAAGGUCCCCCACACUGGAACUGCGACACGGUCCAGACUCCUACGGGAGGCAGCAGUGAGGAAUAUUGGUCAAUGGGCGUAAGCCUGAACCAGCCAAGUAGCGUGCAGGAUGCCGGCCCUAUGGGUUGUAAACUGCUUUUAUGCGGGGAUAAAGUGGCCCACGUGUGGGUUUUUGCAGGUACCGCAUGAAUAAGGACCGGCUAAUUCCGUG
This 490-nucleotide ribosomal RNA is filed under the name uncultured bacterium. RNAcentral's name for it is "partial 16S ribosomal RNA". It matches the Rfam family "Bacterial small subunit ribosomal RNA", at positions 28 to 507 of the family's 1533-position model. The record is from RNAcentral.